RNAcentral lists this ribosomal RNA (1447 nucleotides) under uncultured bacterium. Its description in RNAcentral is "16S ribosomal RNA". It matches the Rfam family "Bacterial small subunit ribosomal RNA". The record is from RNAcentral.
GAUCAUGGCUCAGAAUCAACGCUGGCGGCACGCUUAACACAUGCAAGUCGAACGAGAACGCUUCCUUCGGGAGGUUAGUAAAGUGGCGGACGGGUGAGUAACACGUGGGUAAUCUGCCCUUGAGUGGGGAAUAACUUCGGGAAACUGAAGAUAAUACCGCAUACGACCCUUCGGGGUGAAAGCUUUAUGCGCUCAAGGAUGAGCCCGCGGUCGAUUAGCUAGUUGGUGGGGUAAUGGCUCACCAAGGCAACGAUCGAUAUCCGGCCUGAGAGGGCACACGGACACACUGGCACUGAGACACGGGCCAGACUCCUACGGGAGGCAGCAGUGAGGAAUCUUGGACAAUGGGGGAAACCCUGAUCCAGCGAUGCCGCGUGACCGAUGAAGGCCCUCGGGUCGUAAAGGUCUUUCGAUGGGGACUAUAAUGAAGGUACCCAUAAAAGCAGGAGCGGCUAACUAUGUGCCAGCAGCCGCGGUAAUACAUAGGCUCCAAGCGUUGUUCGGAAUUACUGGGCGUAAAGCGAGUGUAGGCGGCCCGUCAAGUCGAUUGUGAAAUCUCCCGGCUCAACUGGGAGGGUGCGGUCGAAACUGACAGGCUAGAGUUCGGGAGAGGAGAGUGGAAUUCCUGGUGUAGCGGUGAAAUGCGUAGAUAUCAGGAGGAACACCGGAGGUGAAGACGGCUCUCUGGACCGAUACUGACGCUGAGNCUCGAAAGCGUGGGGAGCAACAGGAUUAGAUACCCUGGUAGUCCACGCCCUAAACGAUGCGUACUUGGUGUAGGCACUUCACUGUGUCUGUGCCGUAGUUAACACGAUAAGUACGCCGCCUGGGGAGUACGGUCGCAAGGCUGAAACUCAAAGGAAUUGACGGGGGCCCGCACAAGCGGUGGAGCAUGUGGUUUAAUUCGACGCAACGCGAAGAACCUUACCUGGGCUUGAACUGCUUGGGCUAUUCCCAGAAACGGGAAGUUCCCUUCGGGGACCCAAGUAGAGGUGCUGCAUGGUUGUCGUCAGCUCGUGUCGUGAGAUGUUGGGUUAAGUCCCGCAACGAGCGCAACCCUCGUCCUGUGUUGCCAUUUUGGGACUCACAGGAGACCGCCAGCGACAAGCUGGAGGAAGGUGGGGACGACGUCAAGUCAUCAUGGCCUUUAUGUCCAGGGCUACACACGUGCUACAAUGGGUGGUACAACGGGUCGCGAAGCCGUGAGGCGGAGCUAAUCCCUAAAAACCAUCCCCAGUUCGGAUUGCAGGCUGCAACUCGCCUGCAUGAAGUUGGAAUCGCUAGUAAUGGCGUAUCAGAACGACGCCGUGAAUACGUUCCCGGGCCUUGUACACACCGCCCGUCACAUCACGAAAGUGGAUUGUACUAGAAAUCCGUGGCCUAACCUUCGGGAGGGAGCGGCUGAAGGUAUGAUCCAUGAUUGGGGUGAAGUCGUAACAAGGUAGCC